Molecule: RNA transcript, 2425 nt
Organism: Notolabrus celidotus (New Zealand spotty)
Lineage: Eukaryota; Metazoa; Chordata; Actinopteri; Labriformes; Labridae
Gene name: interleukin-18 receptor 1-like
Exons: 10
Source: RefSeq, a predicted model, not a curated record
GUGAGCUGGACAGAGGAGAGACAAGAGAAGUUCUUCAUUCAUUCAAACAUUGAUUGUUGCUUUGUUGGUUGGCGUGAUUGGGAAGCAGCAGACGGGUAAAAAGGGAGUGGCACAGGCUGUUUACGUAAAUAGAGUCUGCUCUUUUAUAACCCUGUUUACAUCUAAUUGCUAUAAUAACAUCAGCUAUGUUUUUGUUCUGACCUUUAGUCAUCCACUUUUACUUUUGGUUCAUAGAAACCACAGAGUUAUAGUUUGUCAUUGCGCAGCAGAGACAGCAGAGACAAGCUGAUCCUGCUGAUAGGCGCAUGUCCGGGCAGACUGCGAUGACUUCACAAAUCACGACUCACGCUGACAUGAUGCUGCUGCUGCUGGUCCUCUCUGCUUUACUGACAGGUGUGUUUUCAGGGAGACGAAGAGAGGUACACAUCAAGGCAGGUGAGAUGGUGGCGCUGCAGUGCCCCUAUCGAAGAGGGGUCAAUCAUAGCGCUGCCGACCUGGUCUGGACCCAUCACACUGAACAGGAAGUGGACCUGAUCAGGUCCUCAGCUGAGCAGAGGCAGAGGGGAGUGCUGGUUGAUGGGAGGAGCAUGGUGAUCCUCAGCGUGUCUGUAAACCAUCAGGGGAAUUACUCGUGCACUUAUGGGACUCCCAGCAGCCGGUCCUGGUUCAUGCUGACAGUUUACAGCACGCAGAGCAGAGAGUAUGAAGAGAGGAGCACAUACCCUAAAACCUGCUACACACAGGAGUCCUGCACGCUGCACUGUCCGGAUCUUUAUAUCCCCAAUGAUGAAACUCCAAAUAUCACCAGCCGUGGCAUCACAUGGAACAAGAGAGGCGAGGUCCAGCCCAGCAACAGCUUCUUUCCAAGUACAGAGGAGAAGGACCACGGUGUCUACACCUGCACCAGAUCUUACCUGUACCAGGAUCAAGUGUAUAACAAGACCUUCACAGUGCUCCUUGAUGUCCGGCCUGGCAUGAUACCUGGGAAGGCAGAGAUUCUCUCCCCUCAACAGAAUGACGUGUUUCACGUCGCUCUCGACUCUAUACUGGUGGUUGAAUGCCGAGCUGUUGCGUCCUCAGACUUUGAUGAUGUGUUCUGGUUAAGUGGAACUUCCUUUGUGGAGAGAAACAACAGCUUGCCAGUUUUCUACAACUAUACCAGAGACGCUGAAGGGAUGAAGAUGACUGCAUCUUUAGUUUUCAGGAAAGUGUCUGAGGAGGAUCUGUCCAAAAGUUACACAUGUAAACUGGAGUCUGAUAAUCAACCAUCCAGCUUCGUCACCAUCACAUUGGCCCAGAAAGUUCAGAAUGAACCUGGCCCUCAUCCUGCGAGACACUUUGUGUUGUUACCGCAGCGUCUCGGGUGGAAAAAGCCAUGACGCCGCAAAGACCGGUCUGACUGAAGAGGACAGAAAGGGGCAGCAGAGCGUUUGCCCUCGUGAUUGUAACGUCUUACCAGAGAGAGAUGCUGCGGAGUCAGUGUAAGACUGCCUUUCUCAAAGAAAGCCAUGCGUCUCUUGUGGAGCAGCAAGCUACACUUUCAUUUACCUGCUCUGCAUCACACACCGACCGUGAGGCCUCUACUGAGAACCUCGGCUCCAGAGGAUCACUGGAGAGGAGGGAAGCUUUUGUGUGGUGGUGCAGUGUGCUUGGAAGCCAGGUGAUGGAUCUACAGUCCUAAAUUAGAGGGUUUUAGUUUGGACAGAAAAAGAUCGGGUCCACAGGUUGUCUCUCUCAUCAGGGAGAACCUGCAAACUCAAUCAGCUGUUGGAGGCUGUAUCAUAUAUUAUAUACAUAUUUAUGUAUCUGUUAUAAUCACACUAUGUAAACCUGUCACUGCUGAAUUACACUCACUUACGACUAUUUACACCAUGUGUACCAUUUUACACUACCUUUAAAUUAAUAUACUUGUUUUUAUUUAGUUUUUGUCCAGAUUUUACUAAUCUACCUGCUAUAGUUUAAUAAGCUCCCCUCUGGAAGGGUUGUCAGAACAGAUACGACAGACACAACUCGAGUCUCCUUCUUUUUACGCUUAUUGCACACAUCAAACGCACACUUGCCUACCGACACUCAGUGGUUAGAAGUUAUACGACUCUUAAUUAGGGUUUAAACCUGCAAAAUUAACCACUAUAAGUUUACAUUAAUUCUUGUUUGCAACAUCAGCAUUGACGGUAUACAAUUACUCACCGACAAGGCGUACCAGUCCUGACGCUUAACUAUGGUAAAAUGAAACUAAAAGGAUUAACUACACUUUUUGGUAAGCCCUGCCCACUCCACUCACACAGUUGGGAGAUCAGGAUUCACCUAUCACUUAAACAGAACAAUGGUUGCAACUGCUUUAAAGUUAUGCAAUUUUUAUUUUGACUUUAUCUAGAUUGACUCUUUAUUGGUGCUCGGUUCAAUAAAGUCUAACCCAUCUUAAAGA